GAUGAACGCUGGCGGCGUGCCUAAUACAUGCAAGUCGAGCGAACGGACGAGAAGCUUGCUUCUCUGAUGUUAGCGGCGGACGGGUGAGUAACACGUGGAUAACCUACCUAUAAGACUGGGAUAACUUCGGGAAACCGGAGCUAAUACCGGAUGAUAUUUUGAACCGCAUGGUUCAAAAGUGAAAGACGGUCUUGCUGUCACUUAUAGAUGGAUCCGCGCUGCAUUAGCUAGUUGGUAAGGUAACGGCUUACCAAGGCAACGAUGCAUAGCCGACCUGAGAGGGUGAUCGGCCACACUGGAACUGAGACACGGUCCAGACUCCUACGGGAGGCAGCAGUAGGGAAUCUUCCGCAAUGGGCGAAAGCCUGACGGAGCAACGCCGCGUGAGUGAUGAAGGUCUUCGGAUCGUAAAACUCUGUUAUUAGGGAAGAACAUAUGUGUAAGUAACUGUGCACAUCUUGACGGUACCUAAUCAGAAAGCCACGGCUAACUACGUGCCAGCAGCCGCGGUAAUACGUAGGUGGCAAGCGUUAUCCGGAAUUAUUGGGCGUAAAGCGCGCGUAGGCGGUUUUUUAAGUCUGAUGUGAAAGCCCACGGCUCAACCGUGGAGGGUCAUUGGAAACUGGAAAACUUGAGUGCAGAAGAGGAAAGUGGAAUUCCAUGUGUAGCGGUGAAAUGCGCAGAGAUAUGGAGGAACACCAGUGGCGAAGGCGACUUUCUGGUCUGUAACUGACGCUGAUGUGCGAAAGCGUGGGGAUCAAACAGGAUUAGAUACCCUGGUAGUCCACGCCGUAAACGAUGAGUGCUAAGUGUUAGGGGGUUUCCGCCCCUUAGUGCUGCAGCUAACGCAUUAAGCACUCCGCCUGGGGAGUACGACCGCAAGGUUGAAACUCAAAGGAAUUGACGGGGACCCGCACAAGCGGUGGAGCAUGUGGUUUAAUUCGAAGCAACGCGAAGAACCUUACCAAAUCUUGACAUCCUUUGACAACUCUAGAGAUAGAGCCUUCCCCUUCGGGGGACAAAGUGACAGGUGGUGCAUGGUUGUCGUCAGCUCGUGUCGUGAGAUGUUGGGUUAAGUCCCGCAACGAGCGCAACCCUUAAGCUUGGUUGCCAUCAUUAAGUUGGGCACUCUAAGUUGACUGCCGGUGACAAACCGGAGGAAGGUGGGGAUGACGUCAAAUCAUCAUGCCCCUUAUGAUUUGGGCUACACACGUGCUACAAUGGGCAAUACAAAGGGCAGCGAAACCGCGAGGUCAAGCAAAUCCCAUAAAGUUGUUCUCAGUUCGGAUUGUAGUCUGCAACUCGACUACAUGAAGCUGGAAUCGCUAGUAAUCGUAGAUCAGCAUGCUACGGUGAAUACGUUCCCGGGUCU
Molecule: ribosomal RNA, 1372 nt
Filed under: uncultured bacterium
Lineage: Bacteria
Description: bacterial SSU rRNA
Rfam family: Bacterial small subunit ribosomal RNA
Source: RNAcentral